GAUCCUGGCUUAGGAUGAACGCUAGCUACAGGCUUAACACAUGCAAGUCGAGGGGCAGCAUGAGAUUAGCUUGCUAAUCUUGAUGGCGACCGGCGCACGGGUGAGUAACGCGUAUCCAACCUUCCCCCUACUCAGGCAUAGCCCGGUGAAAACCGGAUUAACUCCUGAUAGUUUCACUAGAUGGCAUCUGACGGUGAAUAAAGCUUUGCGGUAAGGGAUGGGGAUGCGUCUGAUUAGCUUGUUGGCGGGUAACGGCCCACCAAGGCGACGAUCAGUAGGGUUCUGAGAGGAAGGUCCCCCACAUUGGAACUGAGACACGGUCCAAACUCCUACGGGAGGCAGCAGUGAGGAAUAUUGGUCAAUGGGCGCGAGCCUGAACCAGCCAAGUAGCGUGCAGGAAGACGGCCCUAUGGGUUGUAAACUGCUUUUGUGCGGGAAUAAAGUCAGGGACGUGUCCCUGUUUGCAUGUACCGCAAGAAUAAGGACCGGCUAAUUCCGUGCCAGCCGCGGC
This 511-nucleotide ribosomal RNA is filed under the name uncultured bacterium. Its description in RNAcentral is "bacterial SSU rRNA". It matches the Rfam family "Bacterial small subunit ribosomal RNA", at positions 15 to 518 of the family's 1533-position model. The record is from RNAcentral.